AUUGAACGCUGGCGGCAUGCCUUACACAUGCAAGUCGAACGGCAGCACGGUAGCAAUCCUGGUUGCGAGUGGCGAACGGGUGAGUGAUACAUCUGAACAUGCCCAUCUGUGGUUUAUAACCCGUCGAAAGCCGGACGAAUACCGCAUACUACCUACUGGUGAAAGCGGGGGGUCGCAAGACCUCUCGCGAUCGUAGCGUUCGAUGCCAGAGUAGCUAGUUGGUGGGGUAAAGGCCUACCAACGCGACGAUCUGUAGCUGGUCUGAGAGGACGACCAGCCACACUGGGAGUGAGACACGGCCCAGACCCCUACGGGAGGCAGCAGUGGGGACUUUUGGCAGAUGGGCGCAAGCCUGCACCAGCCAUGCCGCGUGCGGGCAGAAGGCCUUCGGGUUGUAAACCGCUUUUGUCAGGGAAGAACCGCUCCGGGUUAAUACAACGGAGUAAUGCCGGAACCUGAAGAAUAAGCACCGGCUAACUCCGG
This 483-nucleotide ribosomal RNA is filed under the name uncultured bacterium. RNAcentral's name for it is "partial 16S ribosomal RNA". It matches the Rfam family "Bacterial small subunit ribosomal RNA", at positions 30 to 506 of the family's 1533-position model. The record is from RNAcentral.